AACGCACCUUGCGCUCUAGUGUUAUUCCUUAGAGCAUGCUUGUUUGAGUGUCUCGUACCCCUCCACCCCGUCAGGGCUCGCACCUGAUUGCUAGGGUUUGGAAUCAUGACGCGUGUUGCGGCUGUUUACAGCUUUAACUGCGUUGAAAUACAAAAAGCUGAAUCUUAUCGUGCGGCUUGACCUGUUGUCAUAAACUAAAUUCAAUGGGAACGCAUGGACUAGAACGAGCUUACCAGAAAGGUUCGCAAGAACACAGUGCAUUUUGACCUCAAAUCAAGUAGGACUACCCGCUGAACUUAA
This 300-nucleotide unclassified non-coding RNA is filed under the name uncultured fungus. Its description in RNAcentral is "partial contains 5.8S ribosomal RNA, internal transcribed spacer 2, and large subunit ribosomal RNA". Lineage: Eukaryota; Fungi. The record is from RNAcentral.